AAACACUUCACUGAUGAAGAAAUUUCUCAAUUCAUUCUUCUUUUUUCAAAGCGCGGGUUCUCACUAGAGCUCGAGGGACCAUGACUUGCGGUUCAAGUUUAUGGAUGACUACUAUAUAUAUAUAUUGUAGCCACGGGAGAGAGGUAGAUGUAGGGCAAUAUUAAUAUAGAAACUAGAAAGUUACCGCAUCUGUCCAUCUUUGAAGUUGAGGAGGAGUUGAGAGAUGGGACUGAUCUCAUGCUUUUUCAUCCGUCUUUUGACGUUGUUCGUAUUGAUUGUCUCUUCAUUCUUAGUCAUGCAAUCACCUCAUUACGUUCAUGCAGAUCCAAACCCGAGAAAAUUAAGGAUCAUACCAAGCCCACCCCCUCCUCCGAUUUCAGCCGCAGGACCACAUCAACAUGGCUAAUUUGGGACAUCCAUCUUACUAGUCUGAUUUAAUUAAUGAUUACGUAAAGUUUCUCUUCAGAUUAAAAAGAAAAUAUUACAUAAAGUAAUUGCUUGGAAUACAAGAUUUCCGUUUGCAAACGUACGCUUGGUGCACUAUCCCACAUCGUUUACAAAUAAAGAUUGAUAGCAAUACUCUACACCGCGUUCAAUGAUAUUUUUUUUUUAUGAUCUUUAAUUCCUAUACAAUGUAUAUAUAGUUCGGUUCUAUCAACUCAUGUAAUUUGGACCUUGAAGCCAUAUUAUUAUUUUUAGGAAUAUUUAUCAAAGUUACAGUAAAAUUUCUAGUUAA
Prunus avium (sweet cherry) is the source of this 736-nucleotide long non-coding RNA. RefSeq lists it as uncharacterized. The record is from RefSeq and is a predicted model, not a curated record. Lineage: Eukaryota; Viridiplantae; Streptophyta; Magnoliopsida; Rosales; Rosaceae.